Molecule: ribosomal RNA, 477 nt
Filed under: uncultured bacterium
Lineage: Bacteria
Description: partial 16S ribosomal RNA
Rfam family: Bacterial small subunit ribosomal RNA
Source: RNAcentral
AUUGAACGCUGGCGGCAUGCCUUACACAUGCAAGUCGAACGGUAACAGGUUAAGCUGACGAGUGGCGAACGGGUGAGUAAUGUAUCGGAACGUGCCCAGUCGUGGGGGAUAACUGCUCGAAAGAGCAGCUAAUACCGCAUACGACCUGAGGGUGAAAGCGGGGGAUCGCAAGACCUCGCGCGAUUGGAGCGGCCGAUAUCAGAUUAGGUAGUUGGUGAGGUAAAGGCUCACCAAGCCGACGAUCUGUAGCUGGUCUGAGAGGACGACCAGCCACACUGGGACUGAGACACGGCCCAGACUCCUACGGGAGGCAGCAGUGGGGAAUUUUGGACAAUGGGCGCAAGCCUGAUCCAGCCAUGCCGCGUGCGGGAUGAAGGCCUUCGGGUUGUAAACCGCUUUUGUCAGGGAAGAAAAGGUUCUGGCUAAUACCUGGGACUCAUGACGGUACCUGAAGAAUAAGCACCGGCUAACUACGUG